This is a small nucleolar RNA of Tachyglossus aculeatus (Australian echidna), 140 nucleotides long. NCBI's taxonomy places the organism in Eukaryota, Metazoa, Chordata, Mammalia, Monotremata, Tachyglossidae. The record is from RefSeq and is a predicted model, not a curated record.
UUUCUCUCAAGGUCGCACCUGGAGAGUUUCCAGUACUCUAUCAGUCUCGGCUAUGGGAGAGAGAGUGAAGUGGAAUGGCGUACCCAUUCCAUUUCUAGCUUGGGCAGUAGCUAGGGAGUGGAAGGCAAUCUGCUACAAGU